RNAcentral lists this ribosomal RNA (440 nucleotides) under uncultured bacterium. RNAcentral's name for it is "partial 16S ribosomal RNA". It matches the Rfam family "Bacterial small subunit ribosomal RNA", at positions 338 to 795 of the family's 1533-position model. The record is from RNAcentral.
CCUACGGGGGGCAGCAGUGGGGAAUAUUGCACAAUGGACGCAACCCUGAUGCAGCGAUGCCGCGUGCAUGAAGACGUCUUUAGGUAUGUAAAGCUCUAUUUGUACGGGAGUAAAUGCCGAUACCUGUAUAAGAAGCCCCGGCUAACUACGUGCCAGCAGCCGCGGUAAUACGUCGGGGGCCAGCGUUAUCCGGAUUUACUGGGUGUAAAGGGAGCGUAGACGGCAGCAUAAGUCAGGAGUGAAAUGCCGGGGCUUAACCCCGGAACUGCCUCGGAUACUGUUCAACUAGAGAUCAGUCGAGGUAAGUGGAAUUCAUAGUGUAGCGGUGAAAUGCGUAGAGAUCAGGAGGAACACCGAUUGCGAAGGCGGCUUACUGAACUGUAACUGACGUUGAGGCACGAAAGCGUGGGGAGCAAACAGGAUUAGAUACCCCUGUAGUC